RNAcentral lists this ribosomal RNA (253 nucleotides) under uncultured bacterium. Its description in RNAcentral is "partial 16S ribosomal RNA". It matches the Rfam family "Bacterial small subunit ribosomal RNA", at positions 524 to 776 of the family's 1533-position model. The record is from RNAcentral.
UACGUGGGGUGCAAGCGUUGUUCGGAAUUACUGGGCGUAAAGCGUGAGGAGGCGGCUCGCUAAGUCUGAUGUGAAAGCCCUGGGCUUAACCCAGGAACUGCAUCGGAAACUAGCGGGCUAGAGUUCGGGAGAGGGUCGUGGAAUUCUUGGUGUAGAGGUGAAAUUCGUAGAUAUCAAGAGGAACACCGGUGGCGAAGGCGGCGACCUGGACCGACACUGACGCUAAUACACGAAAGCGUGGGGAGCAAACAGG